AGCCUCCCGAGUAGCCGGGACUACAGGAGCCUGCCACCACGCCCAGCUAAUUUUUUUGUAUUUUUAGUAGAGACGAGGUUUCACCGUAUUAGCCAGGAUGGUCUUGAUCUCCUGACCUCGUGAUCCGCCCGCCUCGGCCUCCCAAAGUGCUGGGAUUACAGGCGUGAGCCACCGCGCCCGGCUGGAACUUUUCUUAAACACUGCUAAGAACGUUCAUCUCCCAGAGAUUCUAAGAGAUGAACAAACCGUGUGGAUGCCCUCAAGAUGUGUACAACUAUAGAACAGGAGAUGGGUACGACCAUAGAACAGGAGAUGGGAGGGUCCAACCAUGGACCGGGUUCCGCCAGUAUGAGCCAUGAGCCAGUUGAAUCUGAAUGCAAAGAACAAGGACCGACUGGAGUCACAAUGCUUAACGGACCAAUGCUUUCUGACUCAGCUCCUCUCUACCCUGAAUAAAGAGACCCUAAUAGUUAGGCAGGAGUAUCAUCACCCCUGUUCAGCAUGAAGAAGUUACAGAAGAUGGACGUUCAUCCUUCUGCAACCCCUAGGAUUAAGGGUCCUCUUGUAAAAGGGAAAGGGGAGGUAUGUGGGAAGCAUUCAAACCAGAGUGACUCCAGUUUGAAAAAGGGCUAAGAAAAAUGAAGCUGGAUCACCAACUGGCAAUUAAGGAGUGCACAGCCUACAAUUGCCUUGCUCAGUUAAAAAAGGCCACCUUUUAUGCUAGUAAUAAUGAUAGCAAUAGUGAUACCUUCUCUUUUACAAAGAAGAGAAGGGGGACAUGUUGGGAAAAAGCUGAGUAUUGGGAAGAAAGCUGAGGCAGUGCUUGCAUGUCUGACAUAAUGUCCUCUGGAAUGUGUCUAGACUUGCUGGCUUCUUGCUUCUAGCCCUCCUAGGCUCCUAAAUAGAUUGUAUUCCCAUCAUCUCAAGUACCAGAACAUGUUCCUUAUAAAUGCUAAACCAUCACAGCUAUAGAUCAGGCACCUGCCCUUUUGACCGCCACAUUCUCACCACCUGUUUCUUUGUUGGAUUACCAAUAAAUAGUGUGGGCUCCCAGAGCUUGGGGCCUUUGCAGCCUCCCCAAUCGCGAUGGCCCCUGGUUCCACUUUACUUCUCAAACUGUCUUUUUCUCAACCCUUUGACUCUGCCAGACUUCGUCACCCCCACGACCUGGUGUUGGGUCUGAUCACCCCAACGACCUAUAUUUUGUGCUACCCUCUUAUCUCAUUCUGUGACUAAGAAUGCCUAACCUCCUGGGAAGGCAGCCCAGUAGGUCUGAGCCUUAUUUUUCUCAGUCCUUAUUCAAGAUGGAGUUGCUCUGGUUCGAAUGCCUCUGACACUUAGAGCUUUGUUGUUGAAAACUGAAUUAUAUACUGUACUUUUUCUUUUCUCUUAUUGAAAAAUCAUCCUACUUUGUUGAUUAUUUUCUGUAACGUCUUGAGGUAAUUUAAAAUUCCACCUGUCUCCAUCAGAGAGACAGGGACUCUUGUCCUUUUUAUUCACUGCUAUACCAUGGGUGUCUAGAAUAUUGCCUGCACAUGGUAGGUGCUUAAAUAAUAUUUUGAAUAAGUUAAUACUAUGAAGCAUUGGUAAAUUCACUCAAUUUUAAUGAAUGAAUUAAAUAUCUUCAAAUUUAAUGACAAUUGUCUUUAUUCAGAUUUCUGAACAAUAUAUUCAGAGAAAUAACUUUAGAGAAAAAGACAAGUGAAGAAAAAGAAUAAGAAGAAAAGCAAUGGAUAAACAGGAAAAGAGAAUAAAAAGGAAAAAUUUUAAACUCCUAUUAACUCCCCCAGAAAUAUUGAUUUUAUUGCUUAUUGUUUAAUAGGUGAACCAUCUGACUCUGCAUAUGCCUUGUGGUGAAAAUGUUUGGGACAUAGGAAUGAGACAUUUUUUGCAUAUACGUCAUAGUGGGCAUUGGCAUACCUGUGGCCUCUCAGAAUCUUUUGAACACUCUUUCUAAAUGUUGGUAACUUCCUAUACUGCAAAUGCUAGCUCUGUAAGUGGGAUGCUAUAAAUCUCACCUUCCCAGUCUCUCUCAUCUCAGAACCCAGCAUGUCCACUGGAUCUUGACUUAGCAGAAUUCAAGUAAGAUUUGACCCCAAAGGAAAACACUGCGAAAAAAGAUUUUGCAGCGUCUGUCAAGGGUGCAGAGUCUGAUCAAGAGGUACAAAACUCUCAGCAGCAUCAGAAGCAAAAUGUCCUGGUGGUAUAGUCUGUGUUCGCUGUUCGCAGAGGCUCUGUGGACAGUCUCAUGGUGGCUUUAGGGAGUGCAGGAUUGUCCCUAUGAUUUUUUGUUAAAACUUGCUAAAGUUGCCAGGCACGGUGGCUAAUGCCUGUAAUCCCAGCACUUUGGGAGGCCGAGAAGGGUGGAUCGCCUGAGGUCAGGCGUUCGAGACCAGCCUGGCCAACAUGGCUAAACCCCGUCUCUACUAAAAAUACAAAAAAUAGCCAGGCAUAGUGGUACGUGCCUGUAAUCCUAGCUACUUGGGAGGCUGAGGCAGGAGAAUCACUUGAACCCAGGAGGUGGAGGUUACAGUGAGCCGAGAUCAUGCCGUUACACUCCAGCCUGGGCAACAGAGCCAGACUCCAUCUCAAAAAAAUAAAAUAAAAACUUGCUACAGUUGUUUGGUUCUGUUGUUUGUAACCAAAAGCCCUAACUGAGAUAACCAUUCACAGUGUAAGUUCACACUGAUGGUUUUUAAUGUUUUGUAAAUCCAGCCCAUUUAAUAUAUGUGGAUUCCUCAAGGCAGAGGCUAGCCAGUGCUGGCACAUCACUGGAUACACAGGAAUUACAAUAUAGAUACAUUUGUUCUUUCUCCUUUCUAUUCAUCUACAGGUCUACAUGAUUGCAUUUCCAUAACUAAUGAAUGCAUAGCCCUAACAUAAAAUACAAAGUGCUACAUAUGCACAAAAUAAAAAUAUAUACAGAACCUGA
This 2932-nucleotide long non-coding RNA is filed under the name Homo sapiens (human). RNAcentral describes it as "HSALNT0064221". Lineage: Eukaryota; Metazoa; Chordata; Mammalia; Primates; Hominidae. The record is from RNAcentral.